This 359-nucleotide ribosomal RNA is filed under the name Escherichia coli. RNAcentral describes it as "partial 23S ribosomal RNA". It matches the Rfam family "Bacterial large subunit ribosomal RNA", at positions 834 to 1191 of the family's 2925-position model. Lineage: Bacteria; Pseudomonadati; Pseudomonadota; Gammaproteobacteria; Enterobacterales; Enterobacteriaceae. The record is from RNAcentral.
CAAACCGGGAGAUAGCUGGUUCUCCCCGAAAGCUAUUUAGGUAGCGCCUCGUGAAUUCAUCUCCGGGGGUAGAGCACUGUUUCGGCAAGGGGGUCAUCCCGACUUACCAACCCGAUGCAAACUGCGAAUACCGGAGAAUGUUAUCACGGGAGACACACGGCGGGUGCUAACGUCCGUCGUGAAGAGGGAAACAACCCAGACCGCCAGCUAAGGUCCCAAAGUCAUGGUUAAGUGGGAAACGAUGUGGGAAGGCCCAGACAGCCAGGAUGUUGGCUUAGAAGCAGCCAUCAUUUAAAGAAAGCGUAAUAGCUCACUGGUCGAGUCGGCCUGCGCGGAAGAUGUAACGGGGCUAAACCAUG